This 765-nucleotide ribosomal RNA is filed under the name uncultured Streptococcus sp. RNAcentral describes it as "bacterial SSU rRNA". It matches the Rfam family "Bacterial small subunit ribosomal RNA", at positions 28 to 776 of the family's 1533-position model. The record is from RNAcentral. Lineage: Bacteria; Bacillati; Bacillota; Bacilli; Lactobacillales; Streptococcaceae.
GACGAACGCUGGCGGCGUGCCUAAUACAUGCAAGUAGAACGCUGAAGAGAGGAGCUUGCUCUUCUUGGAUGAGUUGCGAACGGGUGAGUAACGCGUAGGUAACCUGCCUGGUAGCGGGGGAUAACUAUUGGAAACGAUAGCUAAUACCGCAUAAUAGUAGAUGUUGCAUGACAUUUGCUUAAAAGGUGCAAUUGCAUCACUACCAGAUGGACCUGCGUUGUAUUAGCUAGUUGGUGAGGUAACGGCUCACCAAGGCAACGAUACAUAGCCGACCUGAGAGGGUGAUCGGCCACACUGGGACUGAGACACGGCCCAGACUCCUACGGGAGGCAGCAGUAGGGAAUCUUCGGCAAUGGACGGAAGUCUGACCGAGCAACGCCGCGUGAGUGAAGAAGGUUUUCGGAUCGUAAAGCUCUGUUGUAAGAGAAGAACGAGUGUGAGAGUGGAAAGUUCACACUGUGACGGUAUCUUACCAGAAAGGGACGGCUAACUACGUGCCAGCAGCCGCGGUAAUACGUAGGUCCCGAGCGUUGUCCGGAUUUAUUGGGCGUAAAGCGAGCGCAGGCGGUUAGAUAAGUCUGAAGUUAAAGGCUGUGGCUUAACCAUAGUACGCUUUGGAAACUGUUUAACUUGAGUGCAAGAGGGGAGAGUGGAAUUCCAUGUGUAGCGGUGAAAUGCGUAGAUAUAUGGAGGAACACCGGUGGCGAAAGCGGCUCUCUGGCUUGUAACUGACGCUGAGGCUCGAAAGCGUGGGGAGCAAACAGG